RNAcentral lists this transfer RNA (62 nucleotides) under Urocitellus parryii (Arctic ground squirrel). RNAcentral describes it as "Spermophilus parryii (Arctic ground squirrel) tRNA". It matches the Rfam family "tRNA", at positions 1 to 61 of the family's 71-position model. From Rfam's summary of the family: Transfer RNA (tRNA) molecules are approximately 80 nucleotides in length. Their secondary structure includes four short double-helical elements and three loops (D, anti-codon, and T loops). Further hydrogen bonds mediate the characteristic L-shaped molecular structure. tRNAs have two regions of fundamental functional importance: the anti-codon, which is responsible for specific mRNA codon recognition, and the 3' end, to which the tRNAs corresponding amino acid is attached (by aminoacyl-tRNA synthetases). tRNAs cope with the degeneracy of the genetic code in two manners: having more than one tRNA (with a specific anti-codon) for a particular amino acid; and 'wobble' base-pairing, i.e. permitting non-standard base-pairing at the 3rd anti-codon position. Lineage: Eukaryota; Metazoa; Chordata; Mammalia; Rodentia; Sciuridae. The record is from Rfam by way of RNAcentral. RNAcentral also lists the same sequence under 1 other name.
GGGGUCGUGGCUCAGUCGUAGAGCACUUGCCUAGCAUGCAUGAGGCACUGAGUUCGAUCCCC